Molecule: ribosomal RNA, 2880 nt
Filed under: Burkholderia multivorans
Lineage: Bacteria; Pseudomonadati; Pseudomonadota; Betaproteobacteria; Burkholderiales; Burkholderiaceae
Description: bacterial LSU rRNA
Rfam family: Bacterial large subunit ribosomal RNA
Source: RNAcentral
UCAAGCGAACAAGUGCAUGUGGUGGAUGCCUUGGCGAUCACAGGCGAUGAAGGACGCGGUAGCCUGCGAAAAGCCCCGGGGAGCUGGCAAACAAGCUUUGAUCCGGGGAUGUCCGAAUGGGGAAACCCACUCCUUAUGGAGUAUCCAUAGCUGAAUACAUAGGCUAUGUGAAGCGAACGCGGUGAACUGAAACAUCUAAGUAACCGCAGGAAAAGAAAUCAACCGAGAUUCCCAAAGUAGUGGCGAGCGAAAUGGGAUGAGCCUUGUACUCUUUAUUUGUAUUGUUAGCCGAACGCUCUGGAAAGUGCGGCCAUAGCAGGUGAUAGCCCUGUAGGCGAAAACAGUAUGAAAGAACUAGGUGUACGACAAGUAGGGCGGGACACGUGAAAUCCUGUCUGAAGAUGGGGGGACCAUCCUCCAAGGCUAAAUACUCGUGAUCGACCGAUAGUGAACCAGUACCGUGAGGGAAAGGCGAAAAGAACCCCGGGAGGGGAGUGAAAUAGAUCCUGAAACCGCAUGCAUACAAACAGUCGGAGCCUCUUUAUGGGGUGACGGCGUACCUUUUGUAUAAUGGGUCAGCGACUUACGUUCAGUAGCAAGCUUAACCGUAUAGGGCAGGCGUAGCGAAAGCGAGUCCGAAUAGGGCGUUCAGUUGCUGGGCGUAGACCCGAAACCAGGUGAUCUAUCCAUGGCCAGGAUGAAGGUGCGGUAACACGUACUGGAGGUCCGAACCCACUAACGUUGAAAAGUUAGGGGAUGAGCUGUGGAUAGGGGUGAAAGGCUAAACAAACCUGGAAAUAGCUGGUUCUCUCCGAAAACUAUUUAGGUAGUGCCUCGUGUCUCACCUUCGGGGGUAGAGCACUGUCAUGGUUGGGGGGUCUAUUGCAGAUUACCCCGCCAUAGCAAACUCCGAAUACCGAAGAGUGCAAUCACGGGAGACAGACAUCGGGUGCUAACGUCCGGUGUCAAGAGGGAAACAACCCAGACCGCCAGCUAAGGUCCCCAAAUAUGGCUAAGUGGGAAACGAAGUGGGAAGGCUAAAACAGUCAGGAGGUUGGCUUAGAAGCAGCCACCCUUUAAAGAAAGCGUAAUAGCUCACUGAUCGAGUCGUCCUGCGCGGAAGAUGUAACGGGGCUAAGCCAUAUACCGAAGCUGCGGAUGCGUGCUUGCACGCAUGGUAGGAGAGCGUUCCGUAAGCCUGCGAAGGUGCCUUGUAAAGGGUGCUGGAGGUAUCGGAAGUGCGAAUGCUGACAUGAGUAGCGAUAAAGGGGGUGAAAGGCCCCCUCGCCGUAAGCCCAAGGUUUCCUACGCAACGUUCAUCGGCGUAGGGUGAGUCGGCCCCUAAGGCGAGGCAGAAAUGCGUAGCUGAUGGGAAGCAGGUCAAUAUUCCUGCACCAUUGUUAGAUGCGAUGGGGGGACGGAUCGCGGAAGGUUGUCCGGGUGUUGGACGUCCCGGUCGCUGCAUUGGAGAAGGCGCUUAGGCAAAUCCGGGCGCAGGAUUCAAGGGUGUGGCGCGAGCGACUUCGGUCGCGAAGCAAUUGGAAGUGGUUCCAAGAAAAGCCUCUAAGCUUCAGUCUAACGAUGACCGUACCGCAAACCGACACAGGUGGGCGAGAUGAGUAUUCUAAGGCGCUUGAGAGAACUCGGGAGAAGGAACUCGGCAAAUUGGUACCGUAACUUCGGGAUAAGGUACGCCCUUGUAGCUUGACUGGCCUGCGCCAGGAGGGUGAAGGGGUUGCAAUAAACUGGUGGCUGCGACUGUUUAAUAAAAACACAGCACUCUGCAAACACGAAAGUGGACGUAUAGGGUGUGACGCCUGCCCGGUGCCGGAAGAUUAAAUGAUGGGGUGCAAGCUCUUGAUUGAAGUCCCGGUAAACGGCGGCCGUAACUAUAACGGUCCUAAGGUAGCGAAAUUCCUUGUCGGGUAAGUUCCGACCUGCACGAAUGGCGUAACGAUGGCCACACUGUCUCCUCCCGAGACUCAGCGAAGUUGAAGUGUUUGUGAUGAUGCAAUCUACCCGCGGCUAGACGGAAAGACCCCAUGAACCUUUACUGUAGCUUUGCAUUGGACUUUGAACCGAUCUGUGUAGGAUAGGUGGGAGGCUAUGAAACCGGAACGCUAGUUUCGGUGGAGCCGUCCUUGAAAUACCACCCUGGUUUGUUUGAGGUUCUAACCUUGGUCCGUGAUCCGGAUCGGGGACAGUGCAUGGUAGGCAGUUUGACUGGGGCGGUCUCCUCCCAAAGGGUAACGGAGGAGUACGAAGGUACGCUAGGUACGGUCGGAAAUCGUGCUGAUAGUGCAAUGGCAUAAGCGUGCUUAACUGCGAGACCGACAAGUCGAGCAGGUGCGAAAGCAGGUCAUAGUGAUCCGGUGGUUCUGUAUGGAAGGGCCAUCGCUCAACGGAUAAAAGGUACUCUGGGGAUAACAGGCUGAUACCGCCCAAGAGUUCAUAUCGACGGCGGUGUUUGGCACCUCGAUGUCGGCUCAUCUCAUCCUGGGGCUGUAGCCGGUCCCAAGGGUAUGGCUGUUCGCCAUUUAAAGAGGUACGUGAGCUGGGUUUAAAACGUCGUGAGACAGUUUGGUCCCUAUCUGCCGUGGGCGUUGGAUAUUUGAAGGGGGCUGCUCCUAGUACGAGAGGACCGGAGUGGACGAACCUCUGGUGUACCGGUUGUGACGCCAGUCGCAUCGCCGGGUAGCUAUGUUCGGAAGAGAUAACCGCUGAAAGCAUCUAAGCGGGAAACUCGCCUUAAGAUGAGAUAUCCCUGGAGGCUUGACCUCCUUGAAGGGUCGUUCGAGACCAGGACGUUGAUAGGUCGGGUGUGUAAGCGCAGUAAUGCGUUCAGCUAACCGAUACUAAUUGCCCGUAAGGCUUGAUCCU